Molecule: ribosomal RNA, 468 nt
Filed under: uncultured bacterium
Lineage: Bacteria
Description: partial 16S ribosomal RNA
Rfam family: Bacterial small subunit ribosomal RNA
Source: RNAcentral
GACGAACGUUGGCGGCGUGCUUAACACAUGCAAGUCGAACGGAAAGGCCCUGCUUUUGUGGGGUGCUCGAGUGGCGAACGGGUGAGUAACACGUGAGUAACCUGCCCUUGACUUUGGGAUAACUUCAGGAAACUGGGGCUAAUACCGGAUAGGAGCUCCUGCUGCAUGGUGGGGGUUGGAAAGUUUCGGCGGUUGGGGAUGGACUCGCGGCUUAUCAGCUUGUUGGUGGGGUAGUGGCUUACCAAGGCUUUGACGGGUAGCCGGCCUGAGAGGGUGACCGGCCACAUUGGGACUGAGAUACUGCCCAGACUCCUACGGGAGGCAGCAGUGGGGAAUAUUGCACAAUGGGCGGAAGCCUGAUGCAGCAACGCCGCGUGCGGGAUGACGGCCUUCGGGUUGUAAACCGCUUUCGCCUGUGACGAAGCGUGAGUGACGGUAAUGGGUAAAGAAGCACCGGCUAACUACGUG